Monomorium pharaonis (pharaoh ant) is the source of this 1864-nucleotide long non-coding RNA. RefSeq lists it as uncharacterized. The transcript is spliced from 2 exons. The record is from RefSeq and is a predicted model, not a curated record. NCBI's taxonomy places the organism in Eukaryota, Metazoa, Arthropoda, Insecta, Hymenoptera, Formicidae.
AGGAAAUUGGAAAGUUAAAUUUGAUAAAAAAAAGUAAAAGAAUCUGUUACUGUUACAAUUUUUACAAAAUGUUAUCCGAUAGUGCUAUUAAUUACGCGAUGCUGGCCUGAUAAAAAACGUUUGUCUUUCAUCCAAUUAAACGAGACAAUUGAUGAUCCUACGUUCUGGAAUUCGCGCGAUGGCAUCUAUCAAAAUUUUUCAUGUCUCAGCGUUUUUGUGCGCCACAAACUUUACGCAAACGAAUUAAAGGUGAGGUGUGCUUAUCUUUUAAAGAAGUUUUAGGGAUUUACGGAUGCAUAUCCUUCCGCUGUGUUAGCUGCUGUCGCAUUGCUCGAAAUCUCUUUCCGGUGAAUCCCGGCUGGUCUAUUCGUAUUUGACUGAACAUAUUACAUGCAUUUUCCUAUUCCGACCGCUAUUUGGUUGAACUCGACGAUGAGUAAUAAGGCGUAAAAAGCUAUUAGAUUGGCUGACGAGUUCUUCCGUUCCGUUCUACGCCGGUUCUAUCUGUUCCUUUUCUUGGAGAGAUCUUCGAGAGCUGAAAAGCCUCCGAUGAGAGAGAGAGAGACGGGAGCUCGAAAGACAUUUUCACGUCUUCGCAUUACGAUAUUUCUCCCGUUAUUUGAAGCGAGCGCGUUUAAAUCCAGACUCUGCUUAGUUCUCUUAUAUAAUCUCGCUCGUCUCGCUGUCAUAUACUUCCCGUGGAAUAUGUUUUACACACGCAGAGACGCAAUGAAUAAAUUAGUACGAACGCAAUCCCGAACGCAACUCCUCAAUUUUCUUUAAUUAGAAAUGUAUGGCUUUUCAUCGGUGAUCCUUCAAUUUCGAUGACGUAUGGCGACACCGGAAACUGAUGUUCACAGGAUUUACUUAUCUUACAAAAAUACAACUAAAAAAAGAAAAGGAAAGAGAACCGAAAGAUUCCGUGCGCGAGAAAAGGACGCAAAGGGUUAGCAUUACCGCGGUAAUAGACACCGGUGCGCCGCGGCGGGAAGAGCGGCGCGGUUUCGCGAAGGUGAUAGUAGUAGGGCUGACUGUACUAGCGCUGGGUGGUUGGGCGGGUAGCUGGGUGACGGUAGGUCGACCGCGCGGGGACCAGGGAAUAGCCUCCGGGUUAGGGGCUGGCGGGUCGUGGCGGGUGGUAAAGGGGCGACUCCGGCAGUCAGCGGGUUAGAGCCGCUCCGUGCGGGUGAACGCGAGUCGCGAGCGUGUACGCGCCCCUCUGCGAAAUAUCUUUAAACGGAGAGAUCUCACUCUCUCUCGCACUUGUUAUCACCAACUCCGCGAUCUCGUCCUCCUCGAGAGGUCGCGGAGAUGUGUCGUGGAUUUGAUUCGCGAUGCCCGGUUUGACCCUAUACCAGUUGUCCCAUGAUCUCGCGCGUGAACUCUCGUAUUUGUUCCCUCCUCGGGAUGACUGUCGCGACAGACGCCUCCCUGUAAACGGGCCUGCAACGAAAACUCGUAUGAAUUUUUCAAGCGCUGCUAAAUGAUUGCGGCGAGAAUGUGUUGUGCGUGUAACUGGAAUUACGGAGUGAUUGCUGACGUAAUGGAUAGAAGCUUUUAAAACCACGUGUCAUUCAAGUGUCAUUUGUGAAUUCGAGAGAUUCCCUCGAUUUCUCGAGAGGACGCUCUUUACAAUUUACAGGAUAUAUAUAUAAUAUGUGAACUUCCGAACGUGUUUGUAAAUUUUAAUAUUCUAAUUACCAUGAAAUAAUAAAGAAGAAAAACUGCUCUAAUUUUUUCAUGUAUUAAACAUAUGGUGUUAAGUGUCAGUUUUUAAAAGUGUGAAAAACAUAUAUCGUGACAGAAAAAUUAGAGCCGAUUUAUCAUCUGCCUAGUAUAGACCAUAUCAUUGAAAUAAUCAAAA